Octopus bimaculoides (California two-spot octopus) is the source of this 985-nucleotide long non-coding RNA. RefSeq lists it as uncharacterized. NCBI's taxonomy places the organism in Eukaryota, Metazoa, Mollusca, Cephalopoda, Octopoda, Octopodidae. The record is from RefSeq and is a predicted model, not a curated record.
AGCUUACUGACAGAUGUUUCAUUGUUGCAACUCUACAACUGCAGAGAGAAAAUAUGACAGGAAACUAAAUUGCAGAUAGAAAAAUGUCGACAACGAGUCGGUAUUCUGAAGAUAAAUAAAAGCUAUGUUUGUUUUGGCUCAGGAAAAGACAAAACUCUUCAGACGUCCAAUAUAUCGAAAAUAAGCCAAUGAGAAUCCGGAAGCGAGAGAAAUUUCAAUAAAACAGUCGUAGAAGAAUUGAAUCAUGUAAUCCUCGAGGCAGUAUAGCAAAUAUAUGAUGAAUAGUUUAAUCUAAAUGAUGCCUGCAAAGGUUCACAUUCUCAAGAGACAUUUCUCACACUGCAACUUUCCUUAUAGAAGAAUUUCGAGAUGUGUUUGAUGCCGACGUACUAAACCUAACAUCAAAAAGACUGCAUAUUGAUGCUUAACCUUAUGAUAUUACUUGGCGUCCCUUUUGACAGUUAUUUGCUGUCCUUGACGAAUCCACUCAUAAUACCCAGGAGGAGAUUAAUAGGAAAAUGAGCUGAAGAUUAACAGAACUGUUUGCAAAAUUGGUAAACACUCAACGGUCUUGGAGACCAUAAAGGUUACAUUUAUAUUUGAGGAAAAGUUAAAUGACACGGUGGAGUGGAAACCAUUUGAAUAUUGGAAAACAGUUGGAAUCAUGAUUAUUCUCGCUGGGGAUCAAAUUGACUAUAUCAUGCCUGUUGCUCAUUGCUCUCUGAACACUAUACCACGUGACGUAGACAUCAUGAAAAACCAAGUUCACCCAAACACUAACUAUUUUUGGCUGUCUCCAUUCAGGUUGACGUCAUGCGUCACACAUUUUGAACAGGAGAUUCGGCUCAAUUCACACGGUCAUGUGAAGCAAUUCAGACUGCCGUGGAGUAUGGGGUCAUAUCCUGGCUAGAGAGGUUGCUGUGGGAAGGUGGUAUGAGUAGUAGCAGGAUUCGACUGGAAAGAGUGAUCACUUAAGCCAUUAAAU